CAUGCCGUAAACGAUGAAUGCUAGGUGUUGGAGGGUUUCCGCCCUUCAGUGCCGCAGCUAACGCAUUAAGCAUUCCGCCUGGGGAGUACGACCGCAAGGUUGAAACUCAAAGGAAUUGACGGGGGCCCGCACAAGCGGUGGAGCAUGUGGUUUAAUUCGAAGCAACGCGAAGAACCUUACCAGGUCUUGACAUCUUUUGAUCACCUGAGAGAUCAGGUUUCCCCUUCGGGGGCAAAAUGACAGGUGG
This 247-nucleotide ribosomal RNA is filed under the name uncultured bacterium. RNAcentral describes it as "partial 16S ribosomal RNA". It matches the Rfam family "Bacterial small subunit ribosomal RNA", at positions 796 to 1041 of the family's 1533-position model. RNAcentral also lists the same sequence under 1 other name. The record is from RNAcentral.